AACUAACGCUGGCGGCGUGCCUAACACAUGCAAGUCGUACGAGAAAGUUGGCUUCGGCCGAUGAGUACAAGUGGCGCACGGGUGAGUAACGCGUGGAUAAUCUGCCCUUAAGUGUGGAAUAACGUACCGAAAGGUGCGCUAAUACCGCAUAAUGCCUGGCAACAUAAGUUGUCCGGCCAAAGAAGGCCUCUGCUUGCAAGCUUUCGCUAAAGGAUGAGUCCGCGUACCAUUAGCUAGUUGGUGGGGUAACGGCCUACCAAGGCGACGAUGGUUAGCUGGUCUGAGAGGAUGAUCAGCCACACUGGAACUGAGACACGGUCCAGACUCCUACGGGAGGCAGCAGUGAGGAAUAUUGCGCAAUGGGGGCAACCCUGACGCAGCAACGCCGCGUGAGUGAGGAAGGUUUUCGGACUGUAAAGCUCUGUCGAGCGGGAAGAAGUGUACCAUGGCUAAUAUCCAUGAUAUUUGACGGUACCGCUAGAGG
Molecule: ribosomal RNA, 484 nt
Filed under: uncultured bacterium
Lineage: Bacteria
Description: bacterial SSU rRNA
Rfam family: Bacterial small subunit ribosomal RNA
Source: RNAcentral